RNAcentral lists this long non-coding RNA (2314 nucleotides) under Jatropha curcas. RNAcentral's name for it is "long non-coding RNA (JCUR_LNC002796)". Lineage: Eukaryota; Viridiplantae; Streptophyta; Magnoliopsida; Malpighiales; Euphorbiaceae. The record is from RNAcentral.
AAUCGCUAUUUUCCCGCCCUUCGGACUGGCUUCAAGUAGGAACAAAUGAGAAAAUAAAAUAAUGACUGAGAAAUUAAAGAAAAUAAAUAACACGAUAACUUAACGUGGAAAACUCCCCAAGUAGAGAAAAACCACGGCCGUUGCCAAACGACAACCAAGAAAAAUAUUCACUAUGUGGCAAAUUGUUACAACCACAAUUACAAAAUAUUUUUCUACCCGACACCCUCAAAACACCUCAAAUAUUUUAUACUCCAAGGGACUCCAAAAGACUUGCUUUAAAUCUCUAAUAUAAAACACAUUCAAAUGUUUUUGGUGUGUUUGGUGUGUUUAGAAACCUAAACAUUGGCUUCAUUUUAUAGCCAAUUCAAACACCCUCAAAAGCUCAUCUCCCCGAUGAGGGAUUGAGCUAAACUUUUUUUUUUAAAAUUUUUGUUUUCAACAAAUGAGGCUAACAAUCUCCACCUUGAAAAUAAAAAUAAAAAAAAACACAACAUUGUCUGCUACCGACAAUCAUAAUUCUUAUCGUCAAGAAUUAUCAUACUCCACCAUAAAAGAGUAUCGCCACUUGGAACCACUUUACCGACUCCAAGAAUUUUCCAUCGGCCACGUCGGAUCCCACUAAUAGUUUAUGGUGCAACCCUCCUGUUGACUUUUCUGAGAGUUCAUUAGCCAUCGACAUAAUUUUUUCCACCACACAUUUUGCAUCAACUGUCAACUAAUGCCAUGCGCAUUUCUGUGGACCAGCUACCAAUAAUCCGUCCUCUUUCAUGGCAUCUCAACGGGUAGCAAUCAUGCCAUGAUGACACACAUCUCUUAAUUACAAAGAGAACACAUCAUCUCCUUCGCCAUAGGAGAUCAUAUUGGCAGCAACAACGUUAGAGCUUCUAGCCGAAUCAGCUCCACCGUUCGGGCAAUCCUUCCUCACAUGUCCAGUUUGACCACAAACCCAGCAGACAACCUUCCUCUUUCCGGAGCUUUUCCUGGUACUGACAGAUAAAGCUGAAUCCUCAAAUGAUUUAUUUUUCAUUUCAUUCAGUCUUCUCUCCUCAGUAAGGAGCUUACUAACCACAUCCGCAUACACCACUUCCUUACUACCAUAUUUCAGAACAGGUUUCAUGUGCUCAUAUGUCGAAGAAAGUGAUAGGAUGAGUCGGAGAGCUUUAUCUUCAUCUUCGGUUUGCACUCUAAGAGUUUCCAAUUCAGAGACGAUGCCGUUAAGAACACUCAGGUGAUCUGAGAUCUUUGUACCUUUCGCCAUUUUCAACGUAUGAAAUUGCUCCUUCAAAUAUAACCUGUUGGAUAUAUUUUUUCCCUGGUACAAUUCUUCCAGUUUCUCCCACAACUCCUUUGUCGUGGACAAUCCAAGCACCUUAGUAAGAACAUUUUUUGCUAGACACAUGCGAAUUUGACUUGCCGCUUUGAUAUCCAGCUCCUCCCAUUCUUCAUCGCUAAUCUUGGAUUUUUCUGAGUCUCUCCUGCCACUGUCUUUUCCUGAAUUCUUUCCGCUGACUGGUUUCCCCAGCAAAAUCUUAUGCAGUCCAGACUGAAUCAACACGUCUUUGACUUGCACUUGCCCUAGUGCAAAAUUCAUUCUCCCGUCAAAUUUCUGAAUCUCACAUCUCAUAGCCGACAUGCUUACUUAUGCUUAUAACAGUGAACCCAGUAAUUAGUGAAGUAAAUUGAUUCGGCAAUAUCCAGAAAAGAUCACAAUGAUCUCCUAAACAAUAUUACCAUUUCACGUAAAAUCCCAGUUGGGCGGAGGGGUCACAAGUGGUCCCACUUAAAAUCCGGCCUUCUAGACAGAAGUUACGUACACGGUAUAUUAUCAGAACUUUCGUAUCAGAAUAACUUCAAUAAUUAUCGUCAGGACCUUCACCACCGGUACUCAAGCACACCAAAGCAAAGCUCCACCAGCUUCAAGACUUCCAAAACUCCACCUGCUUUUAAAAUAAAAUAAUUUCUAACAACAGUAUUUCUGAUGUGGAAGAUCAGACUAAGCCGCAACCACAGUGCAUACUUACAAUUUAAAUUACAAGAAAUUAUUCUAACACUAAAAGCUCCGCCUAACAAACCAGGCUCUAAUACCACUUGUUGGAAAAAUCGAUAUUUUCCCGCCCUUCGGACCGGCUUCAAGUAGAAACAAAUGAGAAAAUAAAAUAAUGACUGAGAAAUUAAAAAGAACACGAUAAUUUAACGUGGAAAACUCCCCAAGUAGAGAAAAACCACUACAACCACAAUUACAAAAUAUUUUUCUACCCGACACCCUCAAAACACCUCAAAUAUUUUAUACUCCAAGGGACUCCAAAAAACUUGC